RNAcentral lists this ribosomal RNA (429 nucleotides) under uncultured bacterium. RNAcentral describes it as "bacterial SSU rRNA". It matches the Rfam family "Bacterial small subunit ribosomal RNA", at positions 355 to 776 of the family's 1533-position model. The record is from RNAcentral.
UGGGGAAUUUUGGACAAUGGGGGCAACCCUGAUCCAGCCAUGCCGCGUGUGUGAAGAAGGCCUUCGGGUUGUAAAGCACUUUCGGACGGAACGAAAUCGCGCGGGUGAACAAUCCGCGUGGAUGACGGUACCGUAGGAAGAAGCACCGGCUAACUACGUGCCAGCAGCCGCGGUAAUACGUAGGGUGCGAGCGUUAAUCGGAAUUACUGGGCGUAAAGCGUGCGCAGGCGGCGCCGCAAGUCAGGCGUGAAAUCCCCGAGCUUAACUUGGGAAUGGCGCUUGAAACUACGGUGCUGGAGUGUGGCAGAGGGAGGUGGAAUUCCACGUGUAGCGGUGAAAUGCGUAGAGAUGUGGAGGAACACCGAUGGCGAAGGCAGCCUCCUGGGCCAACACUGACGCUCAUGCACGAAAGCGUGGGGAGCAAACAGG